GGUUAACGCUGGCGGCAUGCCUUACACAUGCAAGUCGAACGGUAACGGGCCUUCGGGUGCCGACGAGUGGCGAACGGGUGAGUAAUGUAUCGGAACGUACCUUUCAGUGGGGGAUAACGUAGCGAAAGUUACGCUAAUACCGCAUAUUCUGUGAGCAGGAAAGCAGGGGAUCGCAAGACCUUGCGCUGAUUGAGCGGCCGAUAUCAGAUUAGCUAGUUGGUGAGGUAAAGGCUCACCAAGGCGACGAUCUGUAGCGGGUCUGAGAGGAUGAUCCGCCACACUGGAACUGAGACACGGUCCAGACUCCUACGGGAGGCAGCAGUGGGGAAUUUUGCGCAAUGGGGGAAACCCUGACGCAGCGACGCCGCGUGGAGGAUGACGGCCUUCGGGUUGUAAACUCCUGUCAGAAGGGACGAAUCCCGCAAGGGACUGACGGUACCUUCAGAGGAAGCCCCGGCUAACUACGUGCCAGCAGCCGCGGUAAGGAGUAGUACA
RNAcentral lists this ribosomal RNA (495 nucleotides) under uncultured bacterium. Its description in RNAcentral is "bacterial SSU rRNA". It matches the Rfam family "Bacterial small subunit ribosomal RNA", at positions 28 to 536 of the family's 1533-position model. The record is from RNAcentral.